This is a long non-coding RNA of Mauremys mutica (yellowpond turtle), 751 nucleotides long. RefSeq lists it as uncharacterized. The record is from RefSeq and is a predicted model, not a curated record. Lineage: Eukaryota; Metazoa; Chordata; Testudines; Geoemydidae. The transcript has 3 exons.
CAUCACCUGAGUCCCAGUCCAGUGUGUUAUCCACAUGGCCUCCCACUUCUGAAUCACUACUAACCCAGCGUCCACCACAGUAUGCGAGGACACUGCGCCGUUGGUGGUGCCCUUGUUCAGUGCACAUGGGCACCUCAGAGCAUCCGCACUGAGUUUGGAAGCACUAAGUAAAUGUUUUCAAAAAACGCGGAGGUAAUAAAGGUGACUGGACGAGCCAGGUUUUAACAGAUGAACUCCCAGAAUUUCUGCUGGCUCAACUUGGUGUCCCCAGCUCGGCUGUGCUGGGCAGAGUUUGUUUUUUUGGAAGGAACAGAAAGACACUGUCUAAAAUUCAUUUGCACAACCAUAUCCUGGCGCUAUAAGAGGGUUACUAGCUUUCUUUGAUCAGUUCUUCCCUUAACCGUAAUUGCCACUGUAGCCAUUGGCACUAAAAUAAUUUAGAUUAGCAAAAUAACCUAUUGCAGAAGCCUGUGAUUAUAGUAUGAUAGAAGGAAUGAAGUAUGGACUAGCCAGAUGAGCAGAGGCCAGGAAGUCAGGAAUUCCUGAACUCUAGUAUUCCCUCUGCCACUCAUUUUCUUGUUGGCCUUGAGUAAGUAACUUAGGCCCUGAUUUUCAUAAGUGCUGAGCCCCCACUGACUCCAGCUGGAAUUGUAGGUGCCCAGCACCUUUGAAAAUGAGGCCUUUAAUCCUCUUCUUCAGCCCAGUCUCUAGAAUAUGGAAUAAUAACACAUCCAUCUGUCAUGAAAGUGCU